RNAcentral lists this long non-coding RNA (2791 nucleotides) under Homo sapiens (human). Its description in RNAcentral is "non-protein coding lnc-KATNAL2-1:12". Lineage: Eukaryota; Metazoa; Chordata; Mammalia; Primates; Hominidae. The record is from RNAcentral.
AGUCCGGCGCCGGAUCGCGGUUGCCCAGCGCGCUGUGCCCUGCCGGGGGCGGGCCACGUUUGAUCUCCGGGCCCGCAGCAAGGGAUCGCGAAGGUAUUGAUCUAGGCGCUGCUGUGAAGGGAAUUUGCAGAUGUAAUUGGCCUAAAUCAGUUGGCUUUAAUAUCAGGAAAUUGUCCUCAGUGGGCAUGGCCAUAUGGAGCCCUUACAAGGGACUGGGCUCUUCCUGGUGAAAAAGAUUUGAAUCACGAGAGUGGCUGAUAUGAGGGAAAUUCUUUGCUGUUGCCUUCGAAGACAGAAGAGGUCCACAAGGCAAAGGAUGCAGACAGCCUGUAGGAGCUGAGACUGGCUCCUGGCUGACAGCCAGCAAGGAAAUGAGGACCUCAGUCCUCCAAUCAUGAAGCAGACUCCGACUUCUGCUAACAACCUGAAUACACUUCAAAGAGGAUUCUGAGCUCCAGCCGCCUACACAUUGAUUUCAGCUGUUGGGACCCUCAGCCGAGAACCCAGCUAUGCCGUGCCCAGAUGUAAGACCUACACAUCUGUGAGCUUAAACAUCAUCCCAAACCACAGAACACUUGUCUUUCUUUGCACUUCUCAGUAUCAAAGGAGAAUAUCGUCCUUCAUCUGGAGAAUGUGAGCAUGGCACAUGGCAAUCCAGAAAAAAGACUGCAUUUCCCAGCCUCCCUUACAGCUGCUGAGACCACAGGGCUAAGUUCCUGCCAAUGAGAGGGGAAAUCUGGACACAGAGACAAACAUGCACAGAAGGAAGACUAUAUAAAGAGACACAAGGAGAAGACUGCCACCUACAAGCCAAUGAGAAAAACCUGCAACACAUUCUUCCCUAAGAGGCCUCAGAAGGAAACAACCCUGCUGACACCUUCGUUUCAGACUUGUAGCCUGCAGAUCCUGAGACAAUACAUUUCUGUUAAGACACCCUAUUUGUGCAGCUUUGUAAAGGCAGCCCCAGCAUAUAUGUAAAGCUAUAUAUGUAAAGCUUUACAUGUGUGUAUAUAUAUAUAUACACAUACACAGCAACCUGCAUACUGUGUAUAUAUACACAUAUAUACAUGUAUACAUAUGUACAUAUAGCUAUACACAUAUGUACUUUACAUAUAUAUGUAUAAACACACAAAGGAACGUGAAUAUAUACAUAUACACACACAAACUUAUAAGAAAGUAACUUCAAAUAUAAUGGCAUAGUUAAGUUGUAAGUAAAAACUGUUCUAGACACUCGAUUAGCAAAACAAAAAAUCUUGGCCCUCACGGAACUUACAUUCUAGUGGAAUAUUAAUAGUUGAGCAUAUCAAGGAGUGUAGGUCAAGUGGCUGGGGGAAAUGCCACUGACUGGCAAGAUUACACCUACAUUUCCAGGGCAGAGAGAAGAAAAUGAGUUCCCAAAGACAGAAAAAGACAUGUUGGCACAAUAGCCAAGAAAUGGAAGAGACUGUGUCAACUGCAGAUGUUGAAACUAGUAAAAAUCAAGUCCAAGAGACUUGGCAAUUAGGAGUACAUUUGACUUCAACAAAAAUAAUUCCAGGAGUGUGAUGGCAGCUGAGAUUCUAGCAUGUAAACUACUUGCCAGCGACUUUAGGAGAUUACCUGAGCCACUCUGUUGCGCCAAUGUGACAAAACCCACCCUGAAUAAAUCCAACCUUUGACUGCUUCCACAACUAUGGCUUCGACAAUGGGCAUUACUGAAGAAAGCACUGCCAUUUAGCUAUCACUGUAAGUCUACGGUGUCCAACUCACCGCUAGUCCAUUCUCUAAUUCUCCAGGAUUGCUAUUUCAAACUAGCUGUUAUACUCAUACAUCAUCCUUACCUCCUCCUUGCUUCUGGAACCAAUAACAUCAAUCAUAUGGUUCUCAAAGACAUGAAAGCCAAACCACUAAGUAACUCUUUUAACUCUCUGCUGUUCAAAUGACACACAUGCCUAUGUCCACAACCAUCCCUUCAUCUGCCUUUGAUCUGGAUCCCAACUUCCUCCUCCUGUUCAGGAACCUUGGUGUACCAAUGAUCUUAGUCAACCCCUCCUGAACCUCCCGCAUUUUUACCUCUACUGAUUCCAUCUCACUAUCCUAUUAGCAGUUAAACAUGAAAUUCAAGUUUCUUCCACUAAAAAAAAAACACAACAACAUCAACAAAACACGCCAGGCACAGUGGCUCACACCUGUAAUCCUAGCACUUUGGGAGGCCAAGGCAGGCGGAUCACCUGAAGUCAGGAGUUCAAGACCAGCCUGGCCAACAUGGUGAAACUCCUUCUCUACUAAAAACACAGAAUUUAGCUGGGUGUGGUGAUGCGUGCCUGUAAUCCCAGCUACUUGGAAGGCUGAGGCAGAAGAAUUGCUUGAACCCAGGAGGUGGAGGUUGCAGAGAGCCGAGAUCAGACCACUGCAUUCCAGUCUGGGCAACAGAGAGGCUCCGCAUUAAAAAAAAAAAAAAAAAUCCUUCAACCACAUAUAAUUCUAUUGCUGUAGCUCUGCCCUUCGUUAACAGUUUUUAAACAGUUGCCCAUACGUGCUACUGCAUUUCUUUACUUUGGGGUCCUCUCCCACCACAAACUAGGUAGACCCUGAUCACUCCACUGAAAUUGUUCUUGAUGAAAUUACGAUACGGCCUGGUUAAGAAAGCCAAAGGGGGCCGGGCGCGGUGGCUCACGCCUGUAAUCCCAGCACUUUGGGAGGCCGAGGCGGGCGGAUCACGAGGUCAGGAGAUCGAGACCAUCCCGGCUAAAAAACGGUGAAACCCCGUCUCUACUAAAAAUACAAAAAAUUAGCCGGGCGUAGUGGCGGG